UACGUAGGGGGCUAGCGUUGUCCGGAAUCAUUGGGCGUAAAGAGCGUGUAGGCGGCCCGGUAAGUCCGCUGUGAAAGUCGGGGGCUCAACCCUCGAAUGCCGGUGGAUACUGUCGGGCUAGAGUCCGGAAGAGGCGAGUGGAACUCCUGGUGUAGCGGUGGAAUGCGCAGAUAUCAGGAAGAACACCAACGGCGAAGGCAGCUCGCUGGGACGGUACUGACGCUGAGACGCGAAAGCGUGGGGAGCGAACAGG
RNAcentral lists this ribosomal RNA (253 nucleotides) under uncultured bacterium. RNAcentral describes it as "partial 16S ribosomal RNA". It matches the Rfam family "Bacterial small subunit ribosomal RNA", at positions 524 to 776 of the family's 1533-position model. The record is from RNAcentral.